ACGCUGGCGGCGUGCCUAAUACAUGCAAGUCGAACGGUCUUUCUAUGGAAGCUUGCUUCCACUGAGAAGAUAGUGGCGAACGGGUGAGUAACACGUGGGUAACCUGCCCAUAAGAGGGGGGAUAACAUCCGGAAACGGGUGCUAAUACCGCAUAGUUUUCUUGAUCGCAUGAUUGAGAAAGGAAAGACGGCCUUUGUGCUGUCGCUUAUGGAUGGACCCGCGGCGUAUUAGUUAGUUGGUGAGGUAACGGCUCACCAAGAUGAUGAUACGUAGCCGACCUGAGAGGGUGAUCGGCCACAUUGGGACUGAGACACGGCCCAAACUCCUACGGGAGGCAGCAGUAGGGAAUCUUCCGCAAUGGACGAAAGUCUGACGGAGCAACGCCGCGUGAGUGAAGAAAAGGGUUUUCGGAUCGUAAAACUCUGUUGUCAGAGAAGAACAAGUUGGAGAGUAACUGCUCCAGCCUUGACGGUAUCUGACCAGAAAGCCACGGCUAACUACGUGCCAGCCGCGGC
RNAcentral lists this ribosomal RNA (515 nucleotides) under uncultured bacterium. RNAcentral describes it as "bacterial SSU rRNA". It matches the Rfam family "Bacterial small subunit ribosomal RNA", at positions 33 to 518 of the family's 1533-position model. The record is from RNAcentral.